This is a long non-coding RNA of Solanum verrucosum, 575 nucleotides long. RefSeq lists it as uncharacterized. The record is from RefSeq and is a predicted model, not a curated record. NCBI's taxonomy places the organism in Eukaryota, Viridiplantae, Streptophyta, Magnoliopsida, Solanales, Solanaceae. The transcript is spliced from 2 exons.
GGGUUAGUUACCACCCUAUAAAUACAAGAGGAGGCCGCAUUUGCACCGUGGAAGCGGCGGAAGACGAGAUAAAGAGAGAGCCGACGGUGAUUUUUGAGCAAGCAUGAGGGCCAAGUGGAAGAAGAAGCGUAUGAGGAGACUGAAGAGGAAGCGCAGAAAGAUGAGACAGAGAUCUAAGUAGAGCAGCAGGGGUCCGGAUGCCUAGGGUGGUUUCUUGGUUGAAACUGCAGCCUUUUACUAUCGCUGUCCAUCUCUGUGGCAGCUCCGAAGAAUGGAGGUUGUCCGUUGUUUGAAGCUGUUCAUUAGUUAUUCUACUAUGUUCUAUGAAGGAGCUUAGUUUUAGUUUUAAGUAUUGCUAGUAAGGAUGUUGUGUUUUUAUGGUAACAUGCUAGUUUUGUCAACCAAAGAUAUAUGUGAGAUUAUCUUGAACCUUUUCUCUUUUAAGCUGACAAUAUUAAGAGGAUUUCUGUUUAUCUGGGCUACAUUUCAUUUGAAUAAAUUUUGGCUUUGAACGUUAAUACUUCAUGUGACGUUCUGAUGAUGAACAAGUGUGAAGUGAAACACAUGAUUGGUUU